This 253-nucleotide ribosomal RNA is filed under the name uncultured bacterium. Its description in RNAcentral is "partial 16S ribosomal RNA". It matches the Rfam family "Bacterial small subunit ribosomal RNA", at positions 524 to 776 of the family's 1533-position model. The record is from RNAcentral.
UACGGGGGGGGCAAGCGUUGUUCGGAAUUACUGGGCGUAAAGGGCUCGUAGGCGGCCAACUAAGUCAGACGUGAAAUCCCUCGGCUUAACCGGGGAACUGCGUCUGAUACUGGAUGGCUAGAGAUUGGGAGAGGGAUGCGGAAUUCCAGGUGUAGCGGUGAAAUGCGUAGAUAUCUGGAGGAACACCGGUGGCGAAGGCGGCAUCCUGGACCAACACUGACACUGAGGAGCGAAAGCCAGGGGAGCAAACGGG